UGCUGUCCUUCUUGGUGUGGCACGACAGUUCACUGACCUUAUGUUUAACUCUGUCAACCAUGGCCAAGCAUUCUAUAUAGGGAGCCCAACAGAUGUUGUCAAGGUGAACAAGAGAUUACUGUCAAUUUGCCCGCCACACUGUUUCACCCGCCUUCCAAGACAAAUCAAAGAGCGUGCUUACUGGAAGGCUAGCGAGUGGCGCCAUUGGCUGCUCUACUACAGCCUUCCAUGUACGCUCAACAUCCUUCCUCAACGCCAUUGGAAACACUGGUGUCUUCUUGUAGAGGCUAUCCACCUGCUCUUGCAGGAAGAGUUACAUCCCACUUUACUUGCACGGGCCAGCACAUUGCUUCAGAAGUUUGUCUUUAUGGUCCCUUCACUCUACGAGGAACGCUUCGUGACAUUCAAUGUUCACCAAUUGCUACACCUGACAGCAACAGUACAGCACCUGGGACCCCUAUGGGCUCAUUCCGCUUUUGUGUUUGAAGAUGGAAACGGCCGUCUCACAAAGACAGUGACCGCAGCGAACGGAGUGGCCCUUCA
Ornithodoros turicata is the source of this 543-nucleotide long non-coding RNA. RefSeq lists it as uncharacterized. NCBI's taxonomy places the organism in Eukaryota, Metazoa, Arthropoda, Arachnida, Ixodida, Argasidae. The record is from RefSeq and is a predicted model, not a curated record. The transcript is spliced from 3 exons.